Molecule: unclassified non-coding RNA, 404 nt
Filed under: soil metagenome
Description: partial contains 5.8S ribosomal RNA, internal transcribed spacer 2, and large subunit ribosomal RNA
Rfam family: 5.8S ribosomal RNA (bases 1-122)
Source: RNAcentral
GAUGAAGAACGCAGCAAAAUGCGAUACUUGGUGUGAAUUGCAGAAUCCCGUGAACCAUCGAGUUUUUGAACGCAAGUUGCGCCCGAAGCCUUUUGGCCGAGGGCACGUCUGCCUGGGCGUCACGCAUCGCGUCGCCCCCCACAAUUCUCCGUAAAGGGAACGUGUGUUUUGGGGGCGGAUAUUGGUCUCCCGUGCUCAUGGCGUGGUUGGCCGAAAUAGGAGUCCUUUCGAUGGACGCACGAACUAGUGGUGGUCGUAAAGACCCUCGUCUUUUGUUUCGUGCUGUUGCUCGCAAGGUAAACUCUUUAAAAACCCCAAUGUGUCGUCUCUUGACGACGCUUCGACCGCGACCCCAGGUCAGGCGGGACUACCCGCUGAGUUUAAGCAUAUCAAUAAGCGGAGGA